CAAAGAAAAACUUAGGGCAAAAAAAAGUCUCACGCCGCCGCCGCCAUCGUUUGCCCGCGCAACCGCCCUUCCCGCGACGCCCUACCAGGCUACCACAACAGGACCUGCCCAGGCGUGCUCUUGCUUCACAGGUCUUCCCUGUUGGCCCUCCCCUUGGCCCCAUAUUUGUCCUCGAUUCGCCUCUGCUCGACGAAGGACGGCAGCAGCCUCGACCAAGGACUGUAGAGGUGGAUCCAUGAUCUACCAGCCCCGGUAAGGACGUAUGAGGAUGGUGGCGCCGUGAUGUGGGACGAGGAUCAAGGGCCGGGCACCUACGAGGAUGGAUGGGAUCGACUUGCUGUCGAGGAAAGACGAGAUCAAAUAGCAGUUAUCUUUUCGGAGGGACGGAUCGACCCCACUGUCAAGAUAUGGAUGCAGGCAUCUUCCAUGCGUGGUUUCGCAUAUGCUUGAGCUGUAAGCUCUCUACUAGCUCUAUAAAAUUGCUGAUUCAUUUGGUGAUUUAUCUUUGUUACUGAUCAUCGUAGUGCUUAUCUAAUGAUAUUAUGAUAAUGGAGCUUAUUUCAGUUAGAAACGUUGUUAGCUCUUCCUCUCAUGUAGUCUUUCUUGUACGCGUGGAUGGGGCUGAACAUUCAAAUUGUUUCAUAUAAUCUUCCCUAUGAUGACUUCAGGCUGCAUGGCUCCACUGUGUACUCUGUUUUGCAAAGAUUCCAUAGGCAGGUUUGGCUAUGCAGGUUUCUCCUGUACAUAUGUAGCUCGGGUCAAUUUAGAGCUUUGGUAGCCGUUACCGGAGCUACAAGAAACCACCAUGUCUUCUAUGUCAUUCUGACAACUUGGCUGCUGCAACAACUCGCUGCUGGUCAUGAUUGACUCUUGUGUUAAAGGUGUGAUCUUGAUAUGGCCACUUAUCAAUCUUGUGCUGGUUCAUGGUGAUGAUUCCAAUAUGAUAUGUGAUUUAUUCGGUUUAUGGCUAAGGAAGUGAUGAUUUUAUUACCUCUUAGAUGCACAACAUUUCACACUUGACAUCAGGAUGAGGCAUAUGCCCAAUCCACUUCUGUCCUGACCUGGAACUGUACCCACCAGCUAUACAUUGUGCAAUAUUAAUCCUCAUAUUUCAUGAGAUUUUGUUCAAAUUGCAAUUUCGGGUCUGUCGGCUAUACCGUCAACUGGUGAUUUAUUUUUUAAGUAUUCCAUCUGUAAUGAAAUAUAAGAGCGUUUAGAUCACUACUUUAGUAAUCUAAACGCCGUCAUUUUUCUUUAUGGGGAGUACGUUCUUAUUCCUUUUCAAUUAUUUUCUCUUGAUGCUCUAGGCUUUAGUUGAACUCUUAACAUAUGUUUUUCUAUUUGAUUCCGAUCUCUCUGCCAUUACAUGGGACAUUGGGCAUAUAUCACACAUUGUUUUGGUAGCAGUUAUAGUUGAUUAUUAUCAAUAGUCAGCUCUAAAACAUCUGGAAUGGCUCAAGCACUAUUUAAAGUGUUGCUUACGAGUCCCCCCACGAAGAUACCUAUCAACAACUCUGCUUUGUACUGUUACUUCUGUAGCACUGAAUGCCAUGCUAAAUCUUACUAUUUUGCAGGAUAACGUCCCUGAGUAUAUAAACCUGUUAGCUUUCCUUAAUUGUUUAGAGAAAGAUAAUAGUGAUUGCGUUGGCACUGCUCAUGCCAUCCUAUCUUACAUGAUUUUGUUGGAUGGUUCAGUUAUUGUGAUUUCUCAAGUUAGGCAUGGUAUGUUUCCUCAACAUUUGGGUGUGUGUUUGUUUUUGGCUGUGCCUAAAUAUUGGUGUUUAUAUCGCAACGAAGUUGAUGCAUUACAAAAUUUCGGAUUUUCUCUAAUUUAAUGGCAUUGUCUCCUCCUUGUAGAAGAUGGUUCUAGGUGGGCUACUGAAACAACGGCAAUAUUCCAAGAAGGCUAAGAACAAUUGGAGAGCACAAGGAACAUAUUCCUAAUCAGCCAACAACCUUCUUUGAUACAUUAUUUGUUCAUCGGAAGUCCAUGAAGAAGGAUGGAUACAGCAGAUGCAGAGAUCUAUAUGUUGUUUCCGGGCAUAUUGGAGAUGUCACAAUAAAUGUUCAACCUUGUUAUCUGCAGGCAAAUAAAUGAUUGUCUUGCUUGGUUUUGGAUUAUUAGAAGUUCCAGUCAUGUCAUGAAUCAUGAGUAAGUUUGUAAAAUUCUUUCUUAUGAGGCCUGAUAGAUUGUCAUUCAGUAUGCCGCUGCCACUUAGUAAUGUAACCUCAUAAGAGGUGGAGAGUAUUUAUUCUCAGGAUGAGAGCAAUAAUUAGAUUUUCCUUUAAUGCUAAAACAUUAUCUUGGAUUUUUGUAUAAAAUAAUAUGACUAAUGUUACUCUUUGUUCUCUAUUAUAAUAUAUAGAUAUGGGAGUUAUCUUAGAAAACCCAAUUACGAUAAUCGAAUAAGGAGAUUUGUAAACAUGUUUUUUAUAUGAAUUUCAAGGUCUUAACAUGCAUGAAUGAUCUUACCGGAUGAUGCUGACUUAUUUUUGUAAAUUUGAACGUAAUUCAUCAUACUACAUCAGUAAGAAGCAUAUAUGAUUUCAUUCCUACUGUUUGCUAUUUGUGUACCACAUCUCUACUACUAAUAAACAAUCAAACUUUUUCUUUCUUAAAUACACCCCAGGAAAUGUACACAGCUAGAUUAGCACCAUCAGAUCAUCCCUCUUAAGUAAAUCUUAACCGUCAGGAUUAAUCCAAUCCUGAGACGGUGUGCACUUAGCAAUUACCGCAGGCUGACCGUGCUCCACCGGGUGAAGAAAUAUCUCCGUCAUACGUCUGCAACCGCUCAGCGCCAAAUGACCCGCAAAGAAAAACUUAGGGCAAAAAAAAGUCUCACGCCGCCGCCGCCAUCAUUUGCCCGCGCAAUCGCCCUUCCCGCGACGCCCUACCAGGCUAACACAACAAGACCUGCCCAGGCGUGCUCUUGCUUCACCGGUCUUCCCUGUUGGCCCUCCCCUUGGCCCCAUAUUUGUCUUCGAUUCGCCUCUGCUCGACGAAGGACGGCAGCAGCCUCGACCAAGGACUGUAGAGGUGGAUCCAUGAUCUACCAGCCCCGAUAAGGACGUAUGAGGAUGGUGGCGCCGUGAUGUGGGACGAGGAUCAAGGGCCGGGCACCUACGAGGAUGGAUGGGAUCGACUUGCUAUCAAGGAAAGACGAGAUCAAAUAGCAGUUAUCUUUUCGGAGGGACGGAUCGACCCCACUGUCAAGAUAUCCAUGCGGGCAUCUUCCGUGCGUGGUUUCGCGUAUGCUUGAGCUGUAAGCUCUCUACUAGCUCUAUAAAAUUGCUGAUUCAUUUGGUGAUUUAUCUUUGUUACUGAUCAUCGUAGUGCUUAUCUAAUGAUAUUAUGAUAAUGGAGCUUAUUUCAGUUAGAAACGCUGUUAGCUCUACCUCUCAUGUAGUCUUUCUUGUACGCAUGGAUGGGGCCGAACAUUCAAAUUGUUUCAUAUAAUCUUCCCUAUGAUGACUUCAGGCUGCAUGGCUCCACUGUGUACUCUGUUUUGCAAAGAUUCCAUAGGCAGGUUUGGCUAUGCAGGUUUCUCCUGUCCAUAUGUAGCUCGGGUCAAUUUAGAGCAUUGGUAGCCGUUAACGGAGCUACAAGAAACCACCAAGUCUUCUAUGUCAUUCUGACAACCGGGCUGCUGCAACAACUCGCUGCUGGUCAUGAUUGAUUCUUGUGUUAAAGGUGUGAUCUUGAUAUGGCCACUUAUCAAUCUUGUGCUGGUUCAUGGUGAUGAUUCCAAUAUGAUAUGUGAUUUAUUCGGUUUAUGGCUAAGGAAGUGAUGAUUUUAUUACCUCUUAGAUGCACAACAUUUCACACUUGACAUCAGGAUGAGGCAUAUGCCCAAUCCACUUCUGUCCUGACCUGGAACUGUACCCACCAGCUAUACAUUGUGCAAUAUUAAUCCUCAUAUUUCAUGAGAUUUUGUUCAAAUUGCAAUUUCGGGUCUGUCGGCUAUACCGUCAACUGGUGAUAUAUUUUUGAAGUAUUCCAUCUGUAAUGAAAUAUAAGAGCGUUUAGAUCACUACUUUAGUAAUCUAAACGCCAUCAUUUUUCUUUAUGGGGAGUACGUUCUUAUUCCUUUUCAAUUAUUUUCUCUUGAUGCUCUAGGCUUUAGUUGAACUCUUAACAUAUGUUUUUCUAUUUGAUUCCGAUCUCUCUGCCAUUACAUGGGACAUUGGGCAUAUAUCACACAUUGUUUUGGUAGCAGUUAUAGUUGAUUAUUAUCAAUAGUCAGCUCUAAAACAUCUGGAAUGGCUCAAGCACUAUUUAAAGUGUUGCUUAUGAGUCCCCCCACGAAGAUACCUAUCAACAACUCUGCUUUGUACUGUUACUUCUGUAGCACUGAAUGCCAUGCUAAAUCUUACUAUUUUGCAGGAUAAUGUCCCUGAGUAUAUAAACCUGUUAGCUUUCCUUAAUUGUUUAGAGAAAGAUAAUAGUGAUUGCGUUGGCACUGCUCAUGCCAUCCUAUCUUACAUGAUUUUGUUGGAUGGUUCAGUUAUUGUGAUUUCUCAAGUUAGGCAUGGUAUGUUUCCUCAACAUUUGGGUGUGUGUUUGUUUUUGGCUGUGCCUAAAUAUUGGUGUUUAUAUCGCAACGAAGUUGAUGCAUUACAAAAUUUCGGAUUUUCUCUAAUUUAAUGGCAUUGUCUCCUCCUUGUAGAAGAUGGUUCUAGGUGGGCUAUUGAAACAACGACAAUAUUCCAAGAAGGCUAAGAACAAUUGGAGAGCACAAGGAACAUAUUCCUAAUCAGCCAACAACCUUCUUUGAUACAUUAUUUGUUCACCGGAAGUCCAUGAAGAAGGAUGGAUACAGCAGAUGCAGAGAUCUACAUGUUGUUUCUGGGCAUAUUGGAGAUGUCACAAUAAAUGUUCAACCUUGUUAUCUGCAGACAAAUAAAUGAUUGUCUUGUUUGGUUUUGGAUUAUUAGAAGUUCCAGUCAUGUCAUGAAUCAUGAGUAAGUUUGUAAAAUUCUUUCUUAUGAGGCCUGAUAGAUUGUCAUUCAGUAUGCUGCUGCCACUUAGUAAUGUAACCUCAUAAGAGGUGGAGAGUAUUUAUUCUCAGGAUGAGAGCAAUAAUUAGAUUUUCCUUUAAUGCUAAAACAUUAUCUUGGAUUUUUGUACAAAAUAAUAUGACUGA
This is a long non-coding RNA of Triticum aestivum (bread wheat), 5144 nucleotides long. RefSeq lists it as uncharacterized. The transcript has 3 exons. The record is from RefSeq and is a predicted model, not a curated record. NCBI's taxonomy places the organism in Eukaryota, Viridiplantae, Streptophyta, Magnoliopsida, Poales, Poaceae.